RNAcentral lists this ribosomal RNA (497 nucleotides) under uncultured bacterium. RNAcentral's name for it is "partial 16S ribosomal RNA". It matches the Rfam family "Bacterial small subunit ribosomal RNA", at positions 28 to 507 of the family's 1533-position model. The record is from RNAcentral.
GAUGAACGCGGGCGGCGUGCCGAAUACAUGCAAGACGAGCGAACAGACGAGGAGCUUGCCCCCCUGUCGUUAGCGCCGGACGGGUGAGCAACACGGGGACAACCUACCCAUAAGACUGGGAUAACUUAGGGACACCGGAGCUAACACCCGAUAAUAUAUUGAACCUCAUGGUUCAAUAGUGAAAGACGGUUACGCAGUCACUUACAGACGGAUCCGCGCCGCACUCGGUAGUUGGUAAGGUAACUGCUUCCCAAGGCGACGAUGCGUAGCCGACCCGAGAGGGCGAUCGGCCACACUGGACCUGAGACACGGUCGAGUCUCCUACGGGAGGCAGCAGCUGUCAAUCUUCCGCACCGGCCGCACACCUGCCGGAGCAACGCCGCGUGAGUCAUGAAGGUCCUCCGAUCCUAAAACUCUGUUCCUAGGGAAGCCCCAAUGUGUAAGUACCUAUGCACGCCUUGACGGUACCUGGUCAGAAAGCCAGGGCUAACUUCGUG